This 569-nucleotide ribosomal RNA is filed under the name Cardiochiles sp. 5 NM-2007. RNAcentral describes it as "eukaryotic LSU rRNA". It matches the Rfam family "Eukaryotic large subunit ribosomal RNA", at positions 491 to 781 of the family's 3401-position model. The record is from RNAcentral. Lineage: Eukaryota; Metazoa; Arthropoda; Insecta; Hymenoptera; Braconidae.
CAUCGUCAGCAUUUAUAAUAUUAAUACAAAUUAUGAUGUGAUUAUAUAAUCCUUGUGGUUAUUAUUAUUAUACUUAUUUGUAUUAUUUCAAUUGUUUAUGUCGGCGUGCACUUCUCCUCUAGUAGGACGUUGCGACCUGUUAAAUGUUUAUCUAUGGUCUGCAUGGUAGACUUGUGUAUUUUUAAUACGUAAGACCUGUAGAUUCCUGAUAAACUGUUUGACAGUAUAUAUAUGGUAUUGAGCCGCAAAUUUAUUUGCGUUAGACUUCAACACAAGUUAGGUUGUCUUCAAGCAGUACGGACAUGUGCCGUCGUUUGAAGCAAUCGGCUGUUAGUGUUGAAGUCUCUAACUGGCUUAUUUUACCUGUCAGCGAUGCUACUGCUUUGGGUACUUACAGGACCCGUCUUGAAACACGGACCAAGGAGUCUAACAUGUGCGCAAGUCAUUGGGAUUUUUUUUAAAACAAACCUAAAGGCGUAAUGAAAGUAAAGAUUGUCUUUAUGACAAUUGAGGGAAGAUGGGUUAUAUUACGAUAUAAUCCCGCAUUCCCAGGACGUCUUAUUCUCAUU